GACGAACGCUGGCGGCGUGCUUAACACAUGCAAGUCGAACGGAAAGGCCCUGCUUUUGUGGGGUGCUCGAGUGGCGAACGGGUGAGUAACACGUGAGUAACCUGCCCUUGACUUUGGGAUAACUUCAGGAAACUGGGGCUAAUACCGGAUAGGAGCUCCUGCUGCAUGGUGGGGGUUGGAAAGUUUCGGCGGUUGGGGAUGGACUCGCGGCUUAUCAGCUUGUUGGUGGGGGAGUGGCUUACCAAGGCUUUGACGGGUAGCCGGCCUGAGAGGGUGACCGGCCACAUUGGGACUGAGAUACGGCCCAGACUCCUAAGGGAGGCAGCAGGGGGGAAUAUUGCACAAUGGGCGGAAGCCUGAUGCAGCAACGCCGCGUGCGGGAUGACGGCCUUCGGGGUGUAAACCGCUUUCGCCUGUGACGAAGCGUGAGUGACGGUAAUGGGUAAAGAAGCACCGGCUAACUACGUG
RNAcentral lists this ribosomal RNA (468 nucleotides) under uncultured bacterium. RNAcentral's name for it is "partial 16S ribosomal RNA". It matches the Rfam family "Bacterial small subunit ribosomal RNA", at positions 28 to 507 of the family's 1533-position model. The record is from RNAcentral.